Molecule: ribosomal RNA, 1470 nt
Filed under: metagenome
Description: bacterial SSU rRNA
Rfam family: Bacterial small subunit ribosomal RNA
Source: RNAcentral
AGAGUUUGAUCAUGGCUCAGGACGAACGCUGGCGGCACGCUUAACACAUGCAAGUCGAACGAGAGAAGAGGAGCUUGCCUUUCUGAUCUAGUGGCGGACGGGUGAGUAACACGUGAGCAAUCUGCCUUUCAGAGGGGGAUACCGAUUGGAAACGAUCGUUAAUACCGCAUAACAUAAUUGAACCGCAUGAUUUGAUUAUCAAAGAUUUAUCGCUGAAAGAUGAGCUCGCGUCUGAUUAGCUAGUUGGUAAGGUAACGGCUUACCAAGGCGACGAUCAGUAGCCGGACUGAGAGGUUGAUCGGCCACAUUGGGACUGAGACACGGCCCAGACUCCUACGGGAGGCAGCAGUGGGGAAUAUUGCACAAUGGAGGAAACUCUGAUGCAGCGAUGCCGCGUGAGGGAAGAAGGUUUUAGGAUUGUAAACCUCUGUCUUCAGGGACGAAAAAAGACGGUACCUGAGGAGGAAGCUCCGGCUAACUACGUGCCAGCAGCCGCGGUAAUACGUAGGGAGCGAGCGUUGUCCGGAAUUACUGGGUGUAAAGGGAGCGUAGGCGGGAUCGCAAGUCAGAUGUGAAAACUAUGGGCUUAACCCAUAAACUGCAUUUGAAACUGUGGUUCUUGAGUGAAGUAGAGGUAAGCGGAAUUCCUAGUGUAGCGGUGAAAUGCGUAGAUAUUAGGAGGAACAUCAGUGGCGAAGGCGGCUUACUGGGCUUUAACUGACGCUGAGGCUCGAAAGCGUGGGGAGCAAACAGGAUUAGAUACCCUGGUAGUCCACGCCGUAAACGAUGAUUACUAGGUGUGGGGGGACUGACCCCUUCCGUGCCGCAGCAAACGCAAUAAGUAAUCCACCUGGGGAGUACGACCGCAAGGUUGAAACUCAAAGGAAUUGACGGGGGCCCGCACAAGCAGUGGAGUAUGUGGAUUAAUUCGAAGCAACGCGAAGAACCUUACCAGGUCUUGACAUCGUAUGCAUAGCUCAGAGAUGAGUGAAAUCUCUUCGGAGACAUAUAGACAGGUGGUGCAUGGUUGUCGUCAGCUCGUGUCGUGAGAUGUUGGGUUAAGUCCCGCAACGAGCGCAACCCUUACUGUUAGUUGCUACGCAAGAGCACUCUAGCAGGACUGCCGUUGACAAAACGGAGGAAGGUGGGGAUGACGUCAAAUCAUCAUGCCCCUUAUGACCUGGGCCUCACACGUACUACAAUGGCUGUCAACAGAGGGAAGCAAAGCCGCGAGGUGGAGCGAACCCCUAAAAGCAGUCUUAGUUCGGAUUGUAGGCUGCAACCCGCCUACAUGAAGUCGGAAUUGCUAGUAAUCGCAGAUCAGCAUGCUGCGGUGAAUACGUUCCCGGGCCUUGUACACACCGCCCGUCACGCCAUGGGAGUCGGUAACACCCGAAGCCUGUAGUCUAACCGCAAGGAGGACGCAGUCGAAGGUGGGAUUGAUGACUGGGGUGAAGUCGUAACAAGGUA